RNAcentral lists this ribosomal RNA (497 nucleotides) under uncultured bacterium. Its description in RNAcentral is "partial 16S ribosomal RNA". It matches the Rfam family "Bacterial small subunit ribosomal RNA", at positions 28 to 507 of the family's 1533-position model. The record is from RNAcentral.
GAUGAACGCUGGCGGCGUGCCUAAUACAUGCAAGUCGAGCGAACGGACGAGACGCUUGCUUGUCUGAUGUUAGCGGCGGACGGGUGAGUAACACGUGGAUAACCUACUUAUAAGACUGGUAUAACUUCGGGAAACCGGAUCUAAUACCGUAGAAUAUUUUGAACCGCAUGGUUCAAAAGUGAGAGACGGUGUUGCUGUCUCGUAUAGAUGGAUCCGCGCUGCAUUAGCUAGUUGGUAAGGUAACGGCUUAUCAAGGCAACGAUGCGUAGCAGAGCGGAGAGGGUGAUCAGCCACACUGGGAGGGAGACACGGUACAGACGCCCACAGGUGGCAGCCGUAGGGAUUCUUGAGCAAUGGGCGAAAACCUGACCGAGCAACGCCGCGUGAGUGAUGAAGGUCUUCGGAUCGUAAAACUCUGUUAUUAGGGAAGAAAAUAUGUGUGAGUAACUGUACACAUCUUGACGGUACAUAAUCAGAAAGCCACGGCUAACUAAGUG